This 72-nucleotide transfer RNA is filed under the name Camelus ferus (Wild Bactrian camel). It matches the Rfam family "tRNA". Rfam says of the family: Transfer RNA (tRNA) molecules are approximately 80 nucleotides in length. Their secondary structure includes four short double-helical elements and three loops (D, anti-codon, and T loops). The record is from Rfam by way of RNAcentral. Lineage: Eukaryota; Metazoa; Chordata; Mammalia; Artiodactyla; Camelidae.
GUGAGUAUAGCUCAGUGGUAGAGUGCACGCUUAGCAUGUGUGAGGUCCCGGGUUGAAUCCCCAGUACUACCA